UCCUGAAGAAGUUUCCUAGUAACUGC
Molecule: non-coding RNA, 26 nt
Filed under: Mus musculus (house mouse)
Lineage: Eukaryota; Metazoa; Chordata; Mammalia; Rodentia; Muridae
Source: RNAcentral